This 116-nucleotide ribosomal RNA is filed under the name Clostridiales bacterium. Lineage: Bacteria; Bacillati; Bacillota; Clostridia; Eubacteriales. RNAcentral also lists the same sequence under 1 other name. The record is from RNAcentral.
GUCGGUGUUGAUUGUGACGAGGGUCCACCCGUUCCCAUUCCGAACACGGUAGUUAAGCUCGUUCACGCUGACAAUACUUGGCGGGCAGCCGCCCGGGAAGAUAGGUAACGCCGACA